RNAcentral lists this small RNA (226 nucleotides) under Bos taurus (domestic cattle). The record is from RNAcentral. Lineage: Eukaryota; Metazoa; Chordata; Mammalia; Artiodactyla; Bovidae.
AGCGGAAUUCGUGAGACCGCUGUUUCUAAUAUUCACAAAGUGGCUGGCGGCGGGGGGCAGGGACAUCAUUCUCAGCGACUGAGAAGGACAGCUCGUGAAACGAUCAUGUUCAUCCUCUAGCUAGGAGUACGUAUGAGGAGGUGACAUACAACACAAGUAUAACUAAUGCUGUUUUCUGUUGGAUAUAAAAGUGAACAGAGUGAGCCCUAAGAGUUCUCAUCCAAAA